RNAcentral lists this small RNA (94 nucleotides) under Arabidopsis thaliana (thale cress). RNAcentral's name for it is "ATSL097530". Lineage: Eukaryota; Viridiplantae; Streptophyta; Magnoliopsida; Brassicales; Brassicaceae. The record is from RNAcentral.
AAUUGGUUUUGGAUUAAAAUUGGUUGAGUUAUUCACAGUUUAGUGAGACACGUUUUCUCAGACGCGAAUUAGGACCAGCGAGAAUUGUAACUAC